AAAUAAACCUUAUUGUAGCGGCUAUCCUUUUUGUUCCACAGGUCAGCAACGUCUUCCAGGCCAUCACAAAAAGAUAGGAGCGGAAAGAAGGGCUGCCG
This 98-nucleotide small RNA is filed under the name Pedobacter sp. SG908. RNAcentral's name for it is "Flavo-1 RNA". It matches the Rfam family "Flavo-1 RNA". Lineage: Bacteria; Pseudomonadati; Bacteroidota; Sphingobacteriia; Sphingobacteriales; Sphingobacteriaceae. RNAcentral also lists the same sequence under 1 other name. The record is from RNAcentral.